UUAACUUGAAAUUGUAUGGAGUUGAAACGUUUGCCUACGUUUGCCGCUAGGGGCGCUGUUUGCAACUGCAUACAAAGUUGAGUUA
This 85-nucleotide microRNA precursor is filed under the name Bombyx mori (domestic silkworm). Its description in RNAcentral is "mir-2807 microRNA precursor family". It matches the Rfam family "mir-2807 microRNA precursor family". The record is from Rfam by way of RNAcentral. Lineage: Eukaryota; Metazoa; Arthropoda; Insecta; Lepidoptera; Bombycidae.